RNAcentral lists this transfer RNA (74 nucleotides) under Prevotella sp. RNAcentral's name for it is "tRNA-Gly". It matches the Rfam family "tRNA". Rfam says of the family: Transfer RNA (tRNA) molecules are approximately 80 nucleotides in length. Their secondary structure includes four short double-helical elements and three loops (D, anti-codon, and T loops). The record is from RNAcentral. Lineage: Bacteria; Pseudomonadati; Bacteroidota; Bacteroidia; Bacteroidales; Prevotellaceae.
GGAUCUGAACUUCGACGGAUGAAGCUACAUCUACCGAAAGGUGUAAAUCGGCGGUUCGACUCCGCCCGGAUCCA